Molecule: ribosomal RNA, 730 nt
Filed under: Heleolaccocoris malayensis
Lineage: Eukaryota; Metazoa; Arthropoda; Insecta; Hemiptera; Naucoridae
Description: SSU rRNA
Rfam family: Eukaryotic small subunit ribosomal RNA
Source: RNAcentral
AAGGCAGCAGGCACGCAAAUUACCCACUCCCGGCACGGGGAGGUAGUGACAAAAAAUAACGAUACGGGACUCAUCCGAGGCCCCGUAAUCGGAAUGAGUACACUUUAAAUCCUUUAACAAGGAUCCAAUGGAGGGCAAGUCUGGUGCCAGCAGCCGCGGUAAUUCCAGCUCCAUUAGCGUAUAUUAAAGUUGUUGCGGUUAAAAAGCUCGUAGUUGGUUCUGUGUUCCACGCUGUCGGUUCACCGCCUGCCGGUGUAACUGGCAUGUCGUGGAAUGUCCUGUCGGUGGCGGCCUCGACCCACGGCGAGUGUAGGGUAACCGAAGCUCGCCGCUGCGUGUCAGGCUGCCGAAUCAAUCCUGCCGCGGUGCUCUUUGCUGAGUGUCGAGGUAGGCCGACACGUUUACUUUGAACAAAUUAGAGUGCUUAAAGCAGGCUAACAAUGCCUGGAUACUGUUGCAUGGAAUAAUAGAAUAGGACCUUGGUUCUAUUUUGUUGGUUUCCGGAAUCCAAGGUAAUGAUCAAUAUGGACAGGCGGGGGCAUUCGUAUUGCGGCGUUAGAGGUGAAAUUCUUGGAUCGUCGCAAGACGCACUAGAGCGAAAGCAUUUGCCAAGUAUGUCUUACUUGAUCAAGAACGAAAGUUAGAGGUUCGAAGGCGAUCAGAUACCGCCCUAGUUCUAACCAUAAACGAUGCCAGCCAGCGAUCCGUCGAUGUUCCUCCGAUGACUCGG